GAGGUGAAAAACAGCCGAUUAAAACACCAAACUCCCAUCAAACACAAAACUCUCAUUUUUCUCCUCCCCUCCCUCUCUUUUUUUCUCUCUCUCUCUCCAGCGGCGCCGUGCAUCCAGAAAAAUAAUAAUUUUUCUCAAACCCACACUGGAUUUUUCUCCACACACUGGAUUUUGGUGGGUUUCUCUCCUCAAAUAAGUUAAGAACUUCUCCCGGUGCACUCUCUUUCUCUCUCUCUCUCCGGCGGCAGCAGAGAUCUUACCGGAGACCAACCCGAUGCCGGAGACCAGACUUCUCCGGUGACCAACCCGACGCCGGAACCCAACUUCUCUUUCUCUCUGGAUUUUUGUCAAAUAACCUGGUUUUAGUGUCAAAUAAUUGCUUAAAUGUCUGAUUUUUUCUUAUAAUAUUGAUAAAGAUCUGAAUGAAAUUGAUAAAGAAGAUCUGAUAUAUAUAUAUUAAUGAAAAGAAGAUCUGUAACGAAAUCAUUACUUAUGAGUUCUCAUAAGUAAUGAUUAUGUUCGGAAACAUAAUCAUUACUUAUGAGAACUCAUAAGUAAUGAUUUCGUUUCAGCCUUUGAUAUAUAUAUAUAUAUAUAUAUAUAUAUAUUAAUUAAGAGACAGCUCUUUUGUGCUAGGAUUAUCAAAAAGAAAUUGGUUCCGUAAUCUAACAGGGCCUAUCUAUCUUUUCAUUCAACUGUUACCCAGGCUAUUUAAACUCUCGUAGGUUUACGACUUAGAAUCUGGGCGUCAGAAUCAGAACGUCUGUCUGCCAUCGAUUUUUUUGAGGAGAUAUGCUGCAUGUAGUCCCUCUUGAAGCAGCGGUUCCAUUUUAUUUAUUGGACGGGACUUUGCCAAACUUCCAUUUGUCUUGUUUUUUCAUAAAUUGUUCUUGCUGGGUUUUGCGGCUGUUGGGAUUUUUCUGCCGUUGUUGUAUUUGUUUGUUUUUUGUUUUUAAAUUUUUGUUCAUUUAAUCCUUAUCUUGCCCAGGGUUGCGGCUGCACUUACGAACUCCCGUCGACACUCGGGAAGGGAUGCGUAGGGGAUCCUAGCGUACACAUACUACGUACAGUUAUAGGCAGUUGGAAAGAAUCUUCUACGAAAGAGAGGAGAUGCGUCGGAACUCGCCUUCGCUAUGCAAGUAUCGACCAGCUCCUAUGUGGUAAUCUUCUUUUCCAAGUUGCAAAAUGUCGUUUUUCAGGUCAUUUUAUGAAGUGUAAAUGUGUAGUUUAAUGUAUAUCUCAUUCUAUAAAAAUGCCAAACGUUUUUUUUUUUUUUUCAUGGGAGAAUCACGUACUUUUGUUUUUAAAAAGCAUCUGGCAUAUAAGUAGCAGAUGAAAAUUUCUUUAAAUUUUGUUCUUACACUUAAAAAAAUUCGUAUUCUCUCAUGUAAAUGACACAUUUUUUUACAUAUAAAGAUCACCUAUAUAGACAAAUUUUAAGAAAUAUGGAGUGAAUCCCACGGAUUGGGAGAGAAGUUUAGUAUUCAAUGUCUAAAUAAAAUUUAAAUGGCCUGAGUAAGUCCACUGUCCAAAUUAUGUAAUACACUUCUUCUCAUUCUUUUUUUUCAUUUUUUUAAAAUUAUCUUUAAAUUUAAAUAUAUGGUCCAUAUCUGGAACUCUCGUGAACCCCACAUAUCAAAUUUAAAUAUAUGGUCCAAGGUGGGUCAUAGGUGGCUUUACCUAGGUAUUGUCGUGUAUCUCAUAUCGUCAGUAGUUUAGAAUGCAAGUGCCGUGUAUCUCAAUCCGAACCCCACACCGUUGCUUAUAAUUACUAAAGACUUGCAGAGUUAUCCUCAAAGGACCUUUCAACUCCGCGUGGUCGCUUCAAACUGUCUAUUUAGAAGCAUUCUCAAUUACUCUUUCAUUCUCUUCUGUUUGUGAAAACCAUCUCUUCCAUGUUAUAUUAAAAAUAAAAA
Molecule: non-coding RNA, 1916 nt
Organism: Corylus avellana
Lineage: Eukaryota; Viridiplantae; Streptophyta; Magnoliopsida; Fagales; Betulaceae
Source: RefSeq, a predicted model, not a curated record